This 94-nucleotide transfer RNA is filed under the name Orchesella cincta. It matches the Rfam family "tRNA". From Rfam's summary of the family: Transfer RNA (tRNA) molecules are approximately 80 nucleotides in length. Their secondary structure includes four short double-helical elements and three loops (D, anti-codon, and T loops). Lineage: Eukaryota; Metazoa; Arthropoda; Collembola; Entomobryomorpha; Orchesellidae. The record is from Rfam by way of RNAcentral.
CCUUCGAUAGCUCAGUUGGUAGAGCGGUGGACUGUAGUAUACUAGCGUAAGCUGCGAGAUCCAUAGGUCACUGGUUCAAAUCCGGUUCGAAGGA